GGUUAAGCUAGUAAGAGCGCACGGAGGAUGCCUAGGCACCAGGAGCCGAAGAAGGACGUGGCGAACAACGAUACCGCCCCGGGGAGCCGUAAGCAGGCAUUGAUCCGAGGAUUUCCGAAUGGGGAAACCCAGCUGUCGUAAUGGACAGUUACUACUAAGUGAAUACAUAGCUUAGUAAGAGGCAUACCAGGGGAACUGAAACAUCUAAGUACCCUGAGGAAGAGAAAACAAUAGUGAUUCCGUCAGUAGCGGCGAGCGAACGCGGAUUAGCCCAAACCAAGGAGCUUGCUCCUUGGGGUUGUAGGACGUCUCACACGGAGUUACAAAGGUGUUUGGUAGGCGAAGAGGUCUGGAAAGGCCCGCCAGAGCAGGUAAAAGCCCUGUAACCGAAAGCAAGCACCCUCCGAGACGGAUCCUGAGUACGGCGGGACACGUGAAACCCCGUCGGAAUCCGGCAGGACCAUCUGCCAAGGCUAAAU
This 479-nucleotide ribosomal RNA is filed under the name Paenibacillus sp. LHD-38. RNAcentral describes it as "partial 23S ribosomal RNA". It matches the Rfam family "Bacterial large subunit ribosomal RNA", at positions 1 to 471 of the family's 2925-position model. The record is from RNAcentral. Lineage: Bacteria; Bacillati; Bacillota; Bacilli; Caryophanales; Paenibacillaceae.